RNAcentral lists this long non-coding RNA (5026 nucleotides) under Sus scrofa (pig). Its description in RNAcentral is "lncRNA (ENSSSCG00065051682.1)". Lineage: Eukaryota; Metazoa; Chordata; Mammalia; Artiodactyla; Suidae. The record is from RNAcentral.
ACCUGCGUCCUGGGGCUGCAGAGACACCACUGAGCCUGUUGUGCCAACGUGGGAACUCCCUUUCCCCUUAAUUUUGCUGUGAGCCUAAAACUGCUCUUAAAAUAGAAAAUCUUUUUUUUUUUUUUUAAGUCACAUAUCUUUUUUUUUUUUUUUUUUUUUUUUUUUUUGGUCUUUUUGCCUUUGUUCUAAUGGCCGCUCCCUCGGCAUAUGGAGGUUCCCAGGCUAGGGGGCGAAUCGGAGCUGUAGCCGUCGGCCUACACCACGCACAGCUCAUGGCAACGCCGGAUCCUUAACCCAUGGAGCAAGGCCAGGGAUCGAAUCUGCAACCUCAUUUUUCCUAGUCAGAUUCGUUAACCACUGAGCCACGAUGGGAACUCCUAAGUCACAUACCUUAACGUGGGCAAGAGUUUUCUCAUGUGAUUCACUGUAUUGGACUUUCCAUUAUUAAAAGAGAAGACAUUUUAAAAGACUCGAAUCAGGAGCGUAUGGAUAAAAGUAGAUGGUCUGUGGCCGGCUGGCGUGGUGCCCACAUGAUCCGUCGAGGGAAGGGCUACUCCCCCUGCGGACCGGGCGCAGACCAGCCCUCAGCAGGGCUCCGGAGACCUUGAGAAGUACCCAUCAAAGGAGCCACCCCAGGCCGACGUCACCUAGAAUCCGGCACCCGGCCAUGGCCCUCCCCUCCCCCAGGUGUAAGGUGGCCGAUGUUCCUGGGAGCAUCCGUGUGCAAAGUGUGAGCUGUCAGGCACCCGUGGAGACCACCAGAGCUCUUUCUGGGAGCAGGAGCUGAUGGAGAGGAGGGGGCCGGCGACAGGUGCAGGGCACCAGGUUGGGAAGGCGCUCCCCCCACCAGGCAUGGCCUCCGGGUACAGCUUGGUGGGGCUUGUGUGGGGACAGCCAGCAAGCAGGAGGCUGGUGGGUCCUGCUUGUUACACCAAACCCCAGUCAGCGACACCACCCCCUCACCCCGGAAAGGCUGAGAGUGUUGGCAUCGAGUCCCUGUGGCCACCCAGCCAACUCCUAGACCCACACAUCCUACGAGAAGUCUGCCCCUCUCGCCUCAAAACGGCCUUGGGCGCCAGCUUCCUGGACAAAGCUGGCUCCUGGGCCUGAUUCCAGUACUUUUCAUGUGUCCCUGGUGAUGGAGGCCCCGUAUUUCUUGGGUCUGAACUGUUCCUGAUGGGACCCCAGGUGUUCAGUCCAGGGACAGUGCCCGAAAAGAAGUGGUGGCCCCAGGAGGCCACAGGACCACUGGCCCUGCAGGGUACCAGUUCUGCGCAGGACACGUUGACAUCGGCGGGCCCUGCUCACACCCACAUCCCCGCAGGCGGCAGCAGGGCGGCUGGGGUGUGGCCACAGCUCCCGCUGGAAGCGGUCCCUUUCCUCUUGGAAGCCACCCUGGGCUGCUUCUCGAUGGGGACGUGGUGGGAAAGGCUUCAGGCUGGAAUCAAGAAACCUUCCUUUUACAACUCUCUCUCUUUUUAGACCUCAAUGUCUUCACCUUAAAGCUAAAGCAAAUGCCUGCCGCGCCUGCAUCCUGGAGGGCUGUGAGGCCAGAUGGGGUGGAAACGUUUGGGCACUGCAUGGAAUUUUCCGGAUUUAAGGAAUCUGCCUGACCUGCCGCUGGUCCGGCGGUUGUCACAGAAGUCCCCCCAGCCACUGGACAGGGAGCCCAGAGUUCCCCGGUGGCUCAGUGGGUAAAGGAUCUGGCAUUGUCAUCACUGUGGCUCUGGUCACUGCUGUGGUACAGGUUUGAUUCCUGGCUCUGGAACUUCUGUAUGCCAUGGGCGAAGUCAAAAAACAAAACAAAACUAUUUUAUAGGAAACCCUAAAUACUUGGGAAGGGCAUUUCGAGAGCACCAAGAAGAAACAUCAAGAAAAGAUCACACAGCCUUAAAAGAGGUGCUGGCCACUCCUGCCAUGGGAGCCCAGGCCGGCCUCUCCGAUGGACAAACCACAGGAAGGAAAGAGUGGGUGUGUCUGACCCUGUGGGCCCACGGGCUGCACGUGGACUCCCCCACCCCCCCGUGAGACACAGCGGCACUGGUACUGGAUACACCCACCCCCUCUCAGCAGCGGCCUGGGUGUUCAGAGGCAGGAGGACAGGGUGGACACCCGCAGAUCAGCACUUUGCUAAACCCCUGGGGUUGGGAGGGGCGCACAGUCACGCGCCCCCUGUGUCAGAGGGCAAGUUCAGGGUCAGAGAGCGUGUGAGGGGAGGUGGGACACGGCAGGUCCUUGGCUGUAAGGCUCUUCCUGGCUUGUGGCUGCAAACUGCAGGUCACCCCCUGGGAAGAGGCAGCUGUGCCCCAAAAGCCUGCUUGGCACAUGGGUACUAGGACCCACCAGGCUGGCUUUUAAGGCUGUGAAAAGCCAGCGGGGUGGAGGAUGCUGGGGGCUUCUGAGCUCCCUGCGGGCAGCGGCCACGGUCCAGACCAGGUCCCACGUGUCCCCGCGGCAACACGCCUGGCAGCGACCGGUCAGGCCGGGAUGGGGUGUGUGAGUGUGAGACCCCUCGCUCCUGAUUCCUCCCUGGCCCAAAUCUCCAUCCUAAUUAUGCUUCUGCGCGUCUCCCUUUGGGAUGGGGCAUUCGACACUCCACGAGUUGCAUGUAAUUAGACGCAGUGGAGCAUGCUGGAGGUUCUGUUUUAUUAAAGGAAAAUGGAAAUAAAUGCACCUCGGAGAGGAGAUGAAACCAUGAAGUCGCAGAGAAAGGAAUGAGCCCGAAGGUUCUCUGCGCUGUGCUCGGUAUGGAUUCCUCAGGUUACCAGUGAAAUGGUCUUUGAAAGCCAUUUUCUUUAUUUCCCCCCCUUUUGAACUGAUUCUCUCCAACCAUCCAGCACAGAUUCAGAACCAUUAACCUGGAAAAGAGGGGAAAAGUGAAGGUCGCCUUGGUAACGGGAGGCUUUGAGCGGCGGCAUCUCACCGCCUGGCGGAUCUGAUCCUGAGUUCUGGAACUGCUCUGGCGGCCAGGCUCUCCGCAUCCUUGCCUGGAGGCCCCCAGAAGCUUGAGAAAGACCACCCAACAGCCCCGAGUCACAGGACCCACUCCGCCCGGGGACACAGCCCUGCCUGUCCCUCAGGAGUCGUAAGCUGCUCUUGGUGUCUGCUGCAAACCUGCCGUCUCCCUAUUUUAUCCUCAAGUCUUUGUUUAGAUCAUCAGAAAGGAUUUGGGAAAUAAAAUAGUCCCCUUUGACCCAGGAACUCCCCCCAGCGUCUAGCCGAACGAACUCACCUGCAAGAUGGAAACACCUUGGGCCUGAAGUGUUUAGGACAGCGUUUUUAGACUGGCGACAGGACAGCGUUUUUAGACUGGCGACAGACGGCAGCUUGGACAUAAAACAGGAGGAGGAAGAUGAUGUAACUUAUAGACUCUACAAGACAUAGGUGAGGAUGCAAUCCGCAGAACUCUAACUGACACUAUGUGGCAACAGAGAAGAACACAUCUCACAAUCUCAAGUCUUCAAAGAAUACAAAAUAACACACGUAGUCUGUAAAAUACCCGCCUUGGGAGCCAGGAGGAAUGUACCAAAGAAUCUGAGUCAUGGUGUCAGGUGAAAUAUGCAUCCCUCUGCCUUUCUAACUCUUAAAAUGAGUAGCUCCUCUAACUUUUUAAAACAUAAGCCAACAUCCUCAUUAUUUAGAAAGGCUUCUUCCUAGUUUUUAAUAAUAAUAAUAAAAAAUAACCUGUUAGGAAUGGGCUCAAGUGAGUCGGGAAAAAUAAGAGUUGAGCUUUUUCAAAUUUGGAAAAAGACCUCUUCUCACCAGAGCAUGAAAAUUGCUCUUCUUCCUACCCUGAUUUUGUUUUUGCUUUUCUAGGUAAAAUGCUAAUUUUGAUGAUCUCUUUAUGUUGCUUAAGACUGCCUCCCCACACAACCUCUGGGCGGCGAGGUGACUAUUCUCCAAUGGACUCUCUUACUGUGGUGGAUCAUGGCCCUGCCCGCACACCUGCCCCUCAGAAGAGCAUCGGGAGUUAGGACCAGCAGAGACGCUGGACUUCCCCCUCCAGUGUUUCCAAAAGUGGGGGCCUUUGGGGGAGGAGAGGUAUGGGCCGUGUUUUACUUACUUCUUCAAUUCACUUUGGGUUGAUAAUUGCAUCCUAGCUCUACAUAUAAGUCAUUUAGGAGUUCCCCGGCGGCUUAGGGGUUAAGGGUCUGCUGUUGUCACUGCUACAGUACAGGUUGGAUGCCUGAUCCGGGAGCUUCUACAUGCCACACGCAUGGAGAAGUCAUAAUAAAUGUAAGGCAUUUAUACUUGGUUUUAUAAUUAUAUAUAUUUUGGAAUCACUACAUUAGAAAUACUUUCAAGCAACCCUGGGGAGCAUGCGAAUCCUUCCUUUAGAAGGGAUCAGCCCUUAGGAAGCCUCCACCUCCUUAGGUGGUGAGGACGCCUGAGUUCCAGGGAAGAGAGAGGUGGAGCCCUGCUCCUGGGGGUGGGGAGACGAGGCAGGGUUUAGAAGCUCCGUCUGGCACUGCUCUGCCACAGUGCCUGUCACAGGGCUGAGAGCUCAGGAGUGGUGUGGCUUCCUGAUGCCAGCAUUCCCACGACGGUCAGAUUCGUAAUCCAGCCAGGACCUCUCCUCCCAGCUCCACACUGACACCCCGAGCUGCACACCUGACAGCUCAUCCUGGACAUCUCAGACGUGACACAGUGAAGGCAGGGUCCUUCCCAGGAUGGGGACACCCCCCCACCCCUCGGUCCAAACUCUAGUCGGGCUGCCCUGAGCCUUUUUCUCAACCAAGGGGCUCCUCCUCCCCCCAUCUUUACUGUGGGGGGAAUACACACGACGGAGAAUUUCCGCCAUGUUCAGUGGCAUCAAAGCACUUUCUCAAAGUUGUGCAACCAUCACGGUUGUCUAAGGCUCGAACUUCUACUUCUCCAUCACCUCCGGUGGAAACCCGCAUCCAGGAGGCAACCGCUUUCCACUCCCCUCCGCGAUCCCCCGACCCCCAGUGCCUGGCAGCCGCUCAUAUGCAUCCUGUCUGUGUGGAUUUGCCUGUUCCGAAUAUAUCACAGAAAUGGAGUCAUA